GCAGGCGUAGUCUAAUGGUAAAACCUCAGCUUCCCAAGCUGAUGCCGCGGGUUCGAUUCCCGUCGCCUGCUCCA
Molecule: transfer RNA, 74 nt
Filed under: Clostridia bacterium
Lineage: Bacteria; Bacillati; Bacillota; Clostridia
Description: tRNA-Gly
Rfam family: tRNA
About the family: Transfer RNA (tRNA) molecules are approximately 80 nucleotides in length. Their secondary structure includes four short double-helical elements and three loops (D, anti-codon, and T loops).
Source: RNAcentral